GACUACUACAGCACAGAAUUAAGGAACCUGUCCUUUGACCAGCAGUAGAGGCGAUUGUCAGACACUCUGAAGUUUGAGCAGCCCUGUCCCCAGUAAACACUGCUUCCAGCAGGAUGAACAAUGAAUGAAUCGGAAGUUCUGGUGGUCAUUGCUACAUAACACAGCAGUCCCUCUGGACAGUGGAGAGAGGAGCACGUCCUAAUGGCCCCAAAUGUUAGGAAACUUUCCAUCCUCUGUCAGCUUCAUGGCUUGGAGUGUAAAGUGUGCUUCUCACACUUUCACAGGUGCAGCGGGGCAGGGACCUGAGAGUUUGCAUCUCCAUUGAGCUCCUAGAUGAGAACAGAAAAUGACAUUGGGAAGCAGUGAACUCACCAGAAGGGCAGAGAAAGUCAUUAAAUUCAACAUGCAUCAUAUUUCAUAAUCAGAACCCCGCAGUCAGCGCUGACACCACCGAAUGAGUUUGUUGCAGCCAUGAUAAUAUAAAAUCCAGUGCGUCUCCUUCCCC
This 505-nucleotide long non-coding RNA is filed under the name Pan troglodytes (chimpanzee). Its description in RNAcentral is "long non-coding RNA NONPTRT015677". Lineage: Eukaryota; Metazoa; Chordata; Mammalia; Primates; Hominidae. The record is from RNAcentral.